AACCUAGUUGAACUUUUGCAAGUUCCGGAGUUAACUUAUAGUCUGGUAAUACCAAAUGUGAAUUCUAAUGUUGGAUAAAUCCCAGCAAGUCAAGGCUACGGAAACUGCAAUGCAUUGAAGGAAUUAACGCGGAAACUAACACAUACACACCGUGCAACUCAUAAGCCCAAUGAGUAAGAAAGGGAUGAACGAUCACACGUAUACAAGAGUUUCGUUAGAAUUGUCAAUUGGGCCUUAAUAAACUUUAAUAGAAAUCUCUGAUAGCGCUGUUGGGCAAUUAACCGGUGAUAUAACCGCUAGGCUGGCUUGCAGGGAUGGUAGCCUUAAAAUCAUCUUUUCAUUCUUUGCUUGGUUGCGCGCAUUUGGCUUAAAAUUCGUGUUGGAUGCGUUAGAAGGAAUGUUGCGAAAAAAAUUUGAGUCGGAAAGAAUGUUUAGCCAGGUUGGAUUGCUAAUAUCAGAUAGGAGAACAGCACUAAAGACUAAAAAUGUCAACAAAUUACAAAACCAGUGGAUUAUUGAGAAAUAAAGUACUCUACCGAAACGAAUUUUAAGCAUAAAUUUCUUGAUCUCAUAUUACAUUAGUGAAUGUAUACAAAAUGUAUAUUUUAUAACUCGUCAAAUCUUAGAGCAGUUUAUAUAGUAACAUGAAAAAUUUGAUAUGUAACUUUAUUAACUUAUUUGUGUUUUCCGUCAUUGUUCAUGUUUUGUUUUAAAAAUAAAUCCAGAGGCUUUUUAAUAAAAAUGAAA
Non-coding RNA from Bactrocera oleae (olive fruit fly), 747 nucleotides. The record is from RefSeq and is a predicted model, not a curated record. NCBI's taxonomy places the organism in Eukaryota, Metazoa, Arthropoda, Insecta, Diptera, Tephritidae.